Non-coding RNA from Podarcis lilfordi (Lilford's wall lizard), 71 nucleotides. The record is from the annotation of a GenBank genome assembly. NCBI's taxonomy places the organism in Eukaryota, Metazoa, Chordata, Lepidosauria, Squamata, Lacertidae.
GGGCCAUAGCUCAGUGGUAGAGCAUCUGCUUUGCAUUCAGAAAGUCUCACGUUCAAUCCUUGGCAUCUCCA